CUCACACUAGACCUGGGCUGUCAGGUUCACCAUAUCACCUGAGGAGAUAUCACCAGCCAGAGGGAGACGUUCUCCAGUCAGGAUGAGUUCCCUGACCUCUGACCCUAACCAGACAGACAUCAACACCAUCAUCCGACCCCCUUACUUCUUCAUCAGUGGUUUCAUAGCCAUCCCCUACAUGAAGUACUACUACUGCUUCCUCUGUUUUGUAUACAUCAUCUCUCUGGUGGGCAACACCUUCGUCAUGACUGGCAUCUACGUGGACCGCAGUCUCCACAG
This is a long non-coding RNA of Salvelinus sp. IW2-2015, 279 nucleotides long. RefSeq lists it as uncharacterized. Lineage: Eukaryota; Metazoa; Chordata; Actinopteri; Salmoniformes; Salmonidae. The record is from RefSeq and is a predicted model, not a curated record. The transcript has 3 exons.